UUUUUUUUUUUUUUUUUUUUUCUUAUUCAUCUUGUAAAUUCUGUACACUUGUUUUUAAAUAGUACUCAUGGAUAUAUAUACAUAUAUGUUAUAUAUAUUCAUUUGGAUUUACUAUGGAUAUAAAAAAAAAAAAAUAAAAUAAUUCGUUUUUGUAAAAAAAAAAUCCGUUUUUGUAAAAAAAAAAAUCCGUUUUUGUAAAUAAAGUUUUGAAUGUAUCAUAUACUUAUUAUUUUCACCAUUAUUGGAAAUUCAAAUGUACAUAUUAUUUACAUAAAAUAUGUACCGUAUAUUAUUCUUUAAGUAAUUUUCAAAAUUAUUUUAUUUCUUUUUCCUUUUUUUUUUUUUUUAACGAUUUUGCAUUGAAAUUAUGUUGUAGUUAACUAAUUAGGUAUAUAUAAAUGUUUUCAUGAACGUAUAUAUAUAUAUAUAUAUUACUUUGAUGAAAUGUCAGUUUGUUCAUUUUAUUAUGUAUGGUUUGGUACAUAAAAUCGGAAAGUCACUCGACUUGUACGUCUUCUUCUUCUUUUUUUUUUUUUUUUUUUUUUUUUUAAAUAAAAAAAAACAUACAAAAAAUUUAAACUUUAAUAACUAAACGAAAUAAUACAUAUUUUUUUAUAUAUACAUAUAUUUGUGUAUGUGUAUAUACAUAUUUGUGCAUGUUCAAUUAUUACUCUCAAUAUAAAAAAAUGGUGCAACAGUUUUUUUUAAAAAAGCAAUAAAAAGUAUUUGGACAUAAGCCAACGUUUCUUUAUGAUCAUUAUAACUAUACGGUGUUUUUUUUUCUUUUUUCAUUUUCUACGCUAGUAUAUAUAACACUUCUAAAGUACGCGUGUAUAUAUAUAUUACAAAUGCACAUAUGUAUAUUAAUGUAUUAAAUAAAUGUCUUUAAAGUGAAAAUGUCUAGUGAUGACAGCGGCAAAAAAAAUAUUGGAAAUAUGAAGUUUGUGAAAACAGUUAUAUAUAAUCAGAAAAUUACUAUCGAAGGCAUAAAAGAAAUAGAAAAAGAUGCUAGGAGUGAAAAAGAAAUAAUACAAAAUAGGAGACUUGAAGAGUUACCAGAAUUUAAAUUAGAAAAGUAUAGCUCCAAUUUAUAUGAAAAUUCUGGCUUAAAACCAAAAGAUCACUCAUUAGCAAAAGAGGAGGAUGAUAACAACAUUAACACUUAUGGCUUACCAAUUUUAACAGAAGAGAGUGUAGAAUAUUAUGAUGCAUAUUCAAAAUAUAAUCAAUAUAGUGUAGAAAAUAUUCAGAAGAGAGAAAAAGAAAUUCAAAAUGAAUUUAAAGAAGCAAUUAAAAAUUACAUAAAAAAAAAAGAACAAGUAGAAGAAAAAACAAAUGUAGAAUUACUAAAAGAAGAAAGUACUGCUAAAAAUUUACAAGAAAUAAAAAAAAGUAUUAAUAAAAAAAAAGAAAAUAAAAUAAACAAACUCAAGCCCAAUAUUAUCAAAACAAUAAUUAAAACAAAAAAAAAACAAGACUUUAAAUUAAAUAACAAACAAAGUGAUGUUACAAAAUAUAAAGAUGUAAAAAAUGGAAAAAAAAAUCCUAUCCCAUUGUCACUUGGCUAUUCAGAUAAUUCGGAUGACUAGGCAGAUAGCUAAACCACAUGGAUAUAUUACAUACGCAAUUACAUCUGCACAUAUAUAUAUAUAUAUAUAUGUACAUAUAUCAUACAUUUUUAACUUAUUUAAACAUGUGCUUCUUCUUCUUUUUUUUUUUUUUUUU
RNAcentral lists this long non-coding RNA (1725 nucleotides) under Piliocolobus tephrosceles (Ugandan red Colobus). Its description in RNAcentral is "lncRNA (ENSPTEG00000005950.1)". The record is from RNAcentral. Lineage: Eukaryota; Metazoa; Chordata; Mammalia; Primates; Cercopithecidae.